CACACCACCAUGCAGGGAGAAUUUUGGGCGUUCAAGUGCUGAACCAUGCAGUCACAUGGUAUAAAAAUUCGGUCGAUUCUCAGGUUUCCUUAUACAAUCCAAACUCCAUUUGGCAAGGGUUUUGGUGAAAUCUUUGACCUAAACACGUACCAUAUAAAUACUAGACGACCUUGGAACAUUAAUAACUCUCUCUUUGAUAAAGCACAUUAAACAAUUGGGAUUUUGAGAGAGACUGAGAAGGAAUUCAAGGCUUUUGACACCACAUAAAAUGGAUUUCUACUUGUUGGAAGGAAGAUACAUACAGCUGGAGAUUUGAAGGAAGAAUUCAGAGAAAAAUAUCAAGCAAUCAAAGUUUUGAAGAAUCAAUCGGAAGAAGGAGAAGAUUUUGGUACAAGAUUGAUUUCUUAUUCUACAUUCAUAUUCAAAACCGAAUGAUGGCUUCCAUGAAAUUAUUUUAUUUUUCUUCCAUUAAUAUGAGUAGCUAAAACUAGUUUAGGGCGAACAAUAUAAUCAAUUUGGGA
RNAcentral lists this long non-coding RNA (521 nucleotides) under Olea europaea subsp. europaea. Lineage: Eukaryota; Viridiplantae; Streptophyta; Magnoliopsida; Lamiales; Oleaceae. The record is from RNAcentral.